AUGACUUUUGUUCCUGAACGGGUUAUUGUUUCUAGUUCUGUUUACCAAGAAGAGUGGACUCUCAUUGCCAGUGCUCUCAAAGCAACGGGACAGCGAGCUGAAUCAGGAGCGUUUUGGCACCGGGGAUGUUACACUGGGAGGACUGCAUGAAGUGCUCUGCCUGUGCAGACUUCCAGAAGACACCCCUCAUGCUCCUGCUGCACCUUCUACCCACCCACAGAAGCUGAUGCACUUAUGGCACUUUGGCAGGGCUCCACUUCUUGCUAGGGACCUGAUCAGUGGAUCACUCUGAAGGCUUACUCUUCUCCCAUGCAUACUUUUACUUGAAGAAAGGUUUUGUAAAUUGAUUGCUUCAUCCAAAGAGCUACUGAGCAUGGUGGCUACUGAGCUCUUUUGUGCAAACAGACCAUUUUCCCUCUUUCACAUAUAAUCUACUAGCAUUCCCAAGAGUGCAUCCAGGCUGGAGUGUCAUCAUCAACCUUAUGCAGUUCUGAAGUCCUCUUUAUAAAAAUCCCUUCUAAAUCCUCCUCUGACAAUGAUGGCCUGCAUCCCAUUGGUGGUUUCUGACCCUACUCUUCAUUUUCAAGAGAAGCACCAACAAGCAGUUAAGAUGUGGUGGCGGAUUAGAACCGCUGGAUCCUAGUCAGGGUUCUAUCUUGAUCUGCAAUCCGAGAAAGCCACUAAACAUCUCUGAGCUUUUGUUUUGACAAAAUAUGAUUAAUCCUUAUUAUUCAUGGAUUGUGUAUUUGUGAGUUUGCCGAUUUGCUAAAAUUUCUUUGUAACUCCAGAAUCAGUAUUCAUAGUUUAGUCAUUCACAGAUGUGUGCAGAGUGGCAAAGAAUUUGAGGUGCCCUCAAGUACACAUUCCCAGCUGAAGUUGAGCUUUGCCUUCUUGUUUCAGCUCUUGGAUUGUAAAUAAGCGGGGGUUUUGUUGUUAUUUUUAAUUUUUUUAAUUAAUUAAUUUAUUUAUUUUUGCAGCUUAUUUAGUCACGUGCUUUUUUACAUUGUUGUACUUUCUGUUGGCGAUUUUCCUGCUUAAAAUAGCCCCCUAAGGGAGGGUGGAGGGUGGCAUAGUGUGCCUAAGCAUAAGAACGCUGUGAUAUGUUUUACACAGCAAAUACAUUGUGUUAGAAAAACUUCAUUUAUUCAGG
RNAcentral lists this long non-coding RNA (1150 nucleotides) under Sus scrofa (pig). RNAcentral's name for it is "lncRNA (ENSSSCG00060021493.1)". The record is from RNAcentral. Lineage: Eukaryota; Metazoa; Chordata; Mammalia; Artiodactyla; Suidae.